Molecule: RNA transcript, 4897 nt
Organism: Pungitius pungitius (ninespine stickleback)
Lineage: Eukaryota; Metazoa; Chordata; Actinopteri; Perciformes; Gasterosteidae
Gene: nxpe3
Gene name: neurexophilin and PC-esterase domain family, member 3
Exons: 11
Source: RefSeq, a predicted model, not a curated record
UUCACUUGUGUCUCUUUUUCUGUAUCCACAUUUGCUUACCCUGUCAUGGAGUGUCCUCUGUCACUCUUUCUCCCUGCCUGUUUUUCAUUUUCUUUCCACUUCCCUGGUUCCCCUCCCUCUGCAUCUCCCUCCGUAUUCAGAUGUGGACGAUGAAAGCCUGCGGUUUAAACAUUAGGAGAGUGACCCAGCUGUGACCGGACAACUCUGCCCUGAGAGGAGGACGAGAAAGGGGACGAGGAGCAGCUGUGCUGCUGUUACACGUUGGCGAUGGAGUCUUUCUCUGGAGAUACAGAAGGAAGCACCGAUGACAUUCCAGGACGUAAAAAGUUCAAACUGAAAUCUCUGAAAAAUCGUCUCUUCGGGAGGAGUAAGAGAGGCGUUGAAGAGGGAGAUGCCAAACUCAGCCAGUCAGCCAGUGAUAUCACUGCAGAAAAAGGACCCGGAUCCGAGGAAGAUUUGGCGUGCUCCCAGGGGAUGAUGGGAUCGAGGGCAUUGUCCGCAGACAGCAUCUUUCUGGCUGAUCAGGUCCUGACAGACGCCGAGCCAGCUAAGGUCUUAUCUCAGGAAAACGUCCAUGGCAAAAUAAAAGCCCUGCAGAUGAAGCUCCAGCAGCAGAAGAUGCAUUUGGGGCCGCCGCCUCUGGUACUGCCAGCCAGACGUGCCGAGGAUCUGGGAAGCCGCUCUGAGGACGAGGGUCCUGCCCACGGCCUCUCUGAGAUCCCAGAAGCCCUCAGCAAGGCCAGGUCCAAGGCGCCGUCUCGUCCACUCUCGCCCCUCCCCAACCCUGCACCUAUCAAGUCUGUGCCCCUGUCUCCAUCCCAUCCAUUGCCCCCUUCUGUCUCCUCAAAUUCCUCCUCCACUGCUGUUGAGCUGACAGACUUCAACUCUCCAGUCCAAUUCACCCCCUGCCUGGACACUUCUGCUGCACGCCACCGGAUGUCUGUCAGGCCCAAAAACCAGAGAGCCAGGCCCAAGAAAACACCCACUGCAAAUUACUCCAAUGAGCCUGACGUACACACCCUAAACAACAUCAACUGCCCUGCAUCUGCGAGAGAAGAAGAACAGCAGGUUUGGACUGAAGAGGAGCUCAUAUUGGAAAAAGAACAAGGAGAGGCUGUUAUGGUUAAAUCUCAGCAUCUUCCAUCAAAACCCCCAGAGGUGGCACCAAUUAUCUCAGAGGAACCAUCCAAAUUAUCCAUCCAAACUGUUUCCGAACAGGACCAAGGUCUUCCUGGUAAAGUGUCCUCUGCACCCUCCCAGAUACUCAGAGUCAAGCCCCACCGACCAGCCGUUGUAAGGCCAAGUGACCGGCCACCCUCCUCCGUUAUACCGUCAGAACUAAAAGACAACAAAGACAGGGAUUCAGAGGUACAAGCAAUGUCCCUUGACAAGAGAAAACCCCCAAACAAGGUUGGAAUGGCUGUCACCUUGUGCGACCAGCUCUCCUCUAACUUUGGGUCGUCACCCGUUCACCAGCAUGUUCAAGGUGAGAAGGAAAGCACGAGGGGACUAACGAGACCCGCCCCAGGAUCCGGGUCCUUCCAUAUUUCAAUGACGGCUGCCAAAAACCGGGAUGCAGAAAGACCCCGAUCAGGCAGUUUUGUUGAAGCCAGACAAAAGGCAGAAGAUCAACAAUCUCCAAGCACGAGGGAAAUGGAAGAAUUAAGAGGGGGCCCCUUUGCUGUGGGAAGACUUAGACAAGCGGCAGCGCCACAUAAAAUCUCAGCAGCAUGGGACAGGAAGGACAGCCCCAAACACGGGGAACCAGUCACACCAUCUCAAAAUGUGACCACAGAUACCAGCGCCGCGAGGGCGGAGCAGCUGGAGAGCAACCAGGUGGUGGUGGUGGAGGAGGCAGUAGAAGCUCAGGAGGUCGAGGAGAACGAAGGAAAGCCAGCGUUUGGCGUCAAACUGCGCUCCACAUCUCGGUCGAUGCGAUUGCGGUCGGAUUCCUCUCCGAACCAUCGCGCUAAGCUGCCGGUGUGCGAGGAGCAAUGUGACCAACUGAAAAGACCGGAAAUAGGAGAUCUUGAAUCAAAAGAUUCAAUUCCAUCUGGCUACUCCCUUCCAGUCAAGCAUAACAAGCUGCCCACCGACAACCCUCACACCAUGGCAACCGAAGUCCAAACCGCCUCCUCAAACCUCAAAAAAGAAUCAUCUGUCCAGGAGUUGCAGCCUGCCCCCCAAACGACCUCGUCUGAGGUGUCCUGGAUGAGCAUAGCAAUGGAAAAGACCAGAACUCUGCAGCAGCUUUUCACUAAUAGAUUUCCGAGAGAUUUUACAGGUGUGCAGACAGCAGCUCGACCACAAGCACAAGUGCAGACAGAGACGCCCACAGGAGGGCAAGAACAGACACAAACUGUAAAACUGCAACAAAGCACGACAACAAUAGAGGGCGCAAAUCAAUCCCGGACUGAUGCCGUCAAAGCAGAAACGGUGCCGAGUGGAAGUCAAACGAAGGCCGUCAAACCGUCUCCGGCGCCGGCAGUGCAGCAGAAGACUCCUCCCCUUCAGUCCAGGGAGCCGCAAACGUUGAAACCAACCGGUGAACCUGCGUUUCCUGCACAGUCUGUGCAGAGCAAUCCAUGGACAAGCCAGUCUCCCUUGCACUCUUGUGCAACACCAGAGACCUCAUCUCAGGCCGCACAAGAGGCGGGGACACAGUCUCUUGCACAGUUUUACCUUUCCUCGGGCCAGCAGCAACAGCCCCGAUGCAGCCGUGGUGUUCACACCGCCAGCCAGCUUCCUUCAACCAUCUCGUAUUCGACCGCAUCAUCUGCUUCAUCUCAUCCAUCCGUUACUGCCUCGGGAAGCGGGGAAAGAGACGCCUCCAUGCAGGAAAAAGACGAUGAGUCCCUGUCAGGAAGGCGGGCAGUUUGGGCCGGGUCAGCAGGCGAAAAGGAGAAACGUGCAGAGUGGACCACUCCACCUGGAAUCAAGGGGGUCGACUCGAAGAAAGUUCAAAUAGAGGAGCAGACAUCAGGUGAAUCCCCAGCCAAGCCCCUAAAUAAAGACAUAAAACCAGUAGGGCGACAAGGGGUAAAACUUGCAGAGUCAGGUCCCACCAAAGUUCCAGAGAGACCCAGAGAGGACAAAUGGCUGCGGAAAAAUGCGGCGCCAUCUUCAUCGCCCUCAUCGUCACCUACAAGGCCAUCAGCGUUUCAGUCCGCGACUGACAGUGGACAGCCGUCCUGGAUGGAACUGGCAAAAAGGAAGUCAAUGGCCUGGAGCGAUAAGUCCAUGGACUGAGGGGAAAACAGACAGAGAGACGGUUCUGUGGAUGCAACAGUAUGAUCAGACCGGCAGACAAAUUGUGUUGUUGAGUCUUUCAUAAAGAUGCAGUGGAAACUCUAUUUUGGCUGCUACGAUUGUGUGAUGAAUUUCAUUCAGUUGUUAAAUUUGAGAGACAGUCCGAGAGUAUAUAUUAACGUUCAAGUUUAAUAUCAUCCUUUUUCACCACAAGCACUAAAUGCUAUUUCUGAGUAAUGUGUCAUGUGAUUCAGCAUGUCACUGCUGAGGAUAGUUUGUGUUGAUUGUCAAGUGCGUUUUUUUUCUGAAACUGUAGGGGAGAACUAUUGAAUAACAAAAUUAAAGUAUUCAAACCAUUUUAACUAGUUGCAUUGAGGCAACUCAGAGGGAAUACGGAGUAACCCCUAAUAUAAUUGUAGCAUAUCUUAAAGACUUUAUCUGGAGAGUGUGGGUCAAGAUUUAAAUAAAUGCAGCAACAUAUUGACCCAGCUUUUCCCUGAGCAUUAACCUGUCAUUAAUGCACCAGUAUAUCAUGGGAUGUCCACUUGGGCCUACUCACUAUCACAGCCUGUAGAUCAUCGUGGCAGGCCACAACUGUGAAUAGGGACCAUCGCUGGGCCUCUUGCUUGAAAUGAUUGGGUUUUAAAUGAUACUUUUACCACCUUUGCCGCUGUAAUCCUAUGAAUUUCUACGCUAGGGGACUAAUAAAGGAUUAUCUUAUUUUAUCUUAUCUUGUACUUUUAAAAUGUGUGUUUGUUUUUAAACCUGAGCAUGCAUUGAACUCACACUGCCAAUACUACGUUCUUUGGUUGCAUACAAAAAUACAAUGUGGAAACUACAUGCACCGUAUCCACGGCCCAAAAAGUUGUCAGUUGGUCUCGUUUUUUGGUUCUAAACGAAGAACGAGAAAACGAAUGCCCACUUCCGGUUUACCGUUUUGGAUUAGAAACGAGAAACGAGUGUUUUCGUUUUCUGUUUUUUUGCGGUAAAAGGGACGAUAAAGGGUACACGGAGCUACACGUACAUACACGGAACAAAAUUCUCUCUUUAUGGAACCAGUGUGGCCAAUUCCUUAACGAGGAAAGACGCUGCAGAAUCAGCGGCGGCUUUGCGCAUGCGCGCGUGACUGUCAAUCUGGACGUGGCGUAUGUCUCCUCUGUGUUCUGACUGCAGCUGGACUGCUGCAAGCCUCGAGGCUUCUGUGAGACUCGCGGAUAAGCCAUUGGGGACCCCCCAUAAGAAUUUAUUUUUAGAUUUUGGGGGGUCCCCGAAAAAUAUUUUUAACAUUAAAAGUGAUUGUGUAAUUAUAGGUCAUAAGUGACGUUUUAUAUUUAUAACAAAAAAUUACUUUAUUUCCUAGCGCGAUUGAGCAGCUAAUAGCGUCACAGGUUGUUGUCGUGGUCCUCCGGAGUAAACAGUACAGUCUGUGGCACAGACACGUAGGUCAUUGAACGCGGCAAAAUCGAAGCCUCACAAAGAGUGAAAUCUAAAGAACCCUCAUGAAAAUCCCUUCCUGCUGAUGAAAUGACGCCAUCGUUGCAGUUAUGACUACAUUGAGUGUAACGGAGCCGGAUCAUGGGAUGCAGAAGGCCAACGUGUGCCGAUAUCUGUCCACAUAUGCUUUUAUCUUCCUCUUCUUAGCCGUGUC